This 82-nucleotide ribosomal RNA is filed under the name Paenibacillus odorifer. RNAcentral also lists the same sequence under 3 other names. The record is from RNAcentral. Lineage: Bacteria; Bacillati; Bacillota; Bacilli; Caryophanales; Paenibacillaceae.
CAUCCCGAACACGACCGUUAAGCCCUCCAGCGCCGAUGGUACUUGGACCGAAGGGUCCUGGGAGAGUAGGACGUUGCCAAGC